CGGGUGAGUAACGCGUGGGAAUCUGCCCUCAGGAGGGGGAUAACGGCUGGAAACGGCCGCUAAUACCCCAUAUGCCGAGAGGUGAAAUGAAUUUCGCCUGAGGAUGAGCCCGCGUCUGAUUAGCUAGUUGGUGAGGUAAGAGCUCACCAAGGCAUCGAUCAGUAGCUGGUCUGAGAGGAUGAUCAGCCACACUGGGACUGAGACACGGCCCAGACUCCUACGGGAGGCAGCAGUGGGGAAUUUUCCGCAAUGGGCGAAAGCCUGACGGAGCAACGCCGCGUGAGGGAUGAAGGCCUCUGGGCUGUAAACCUCUUUUCUCAAGGAAGAAGAUCUGACGGUACUUGAGGAAUAAGCCACGGCUAAUUCC
Molecule: ribosomal RNA, 367 nt
Filed under: uncultured cyanobacterium
Lineage: Bacteria; Bacillati; Cyanobacteriota
Description: bacterial SSU rRNA
Rfam family: Bacterial small subunit ribosomal RNA
Source: RNAcentral